CGGCGUGCAUAACACAUUCAAGUCGAACGAAUUACUUACAGUGAGACCUUCGGGUGGAUCUGUAUUUGACUUAGUGGCGGACGGGUGAGUAACGCGUGAGCAAUUUGCCUUACAGUACGGGAUAACGUCCGGAAACAGACGCUAAUACCGUAUGAUGCAAUCGGGACGCAUGUUCUGAUUGCCAAAGAUUUAUUGCUGUAAGAUGGGCUCGCGUCUGAUUAGGUAGUUGGCGGGGGAACGGCCCACCAAGCCUACGAUCAGUAGCCGGACUGAGAGGUUGAACGGCCACAUUGGAACUGAGAAACGGUCCAGACUCCUACGGGAGGCAGCAGUGGGGAAUAUUGGGCAAUGGGCGAAAGCCUGACCCAGCGACGCCGCGUGAAGUGAAGACGGUCUUCGGAUUGUAAACUUCUUUUAUAUGGGACGAAGAAAGUGACGGUACCAUAUGAAUAAGCCACGGCUAACUACGUGCCAGCAGCCGCGGUAAUAUGUAGGUGGCAAGCGUUAUCCGGAUUUACUGGGUGUAAAGGGUGUGUAGGCGGGAUGGGAAGUCAGAUGUGAAAAUUAUGGGCUCAACUCAUAACCUGCAUUUGAAACUGCCGUUCUUGAGGUUCGGAGAGGUAGACGGAAUUCCUGGUGUAGCGGUGAAAUGCGUAGAUAUCAGGAGGAACACCGGUGGCGAAGGCGGUCUACUGGACGAAAACUGACGCUGAGACACGAAAGCGUGGGGAGCAAACAGGAUUAGAUACCCUGGUAGUCCACGCUGUAAACGAUGAAUGCUAGGUGUGGGGGAGCAAUUUUCCGUGCCGCAGUUAACGCAAUAAGCAUUCCACCUGGGGAGUACGGCCGCAAGGUUGAAACUCAAAGGAGUUGACGGGGGCCCGCACAAGCAGUGGAGUAUGUGGUUUAAUUCGAAGCAACGCGAAGAACCUUACCAGGUCUUGACAUCCAACUAACGAAGUAGAGAUACAUUAGGUGCCCUUCGGGGAAAGUUGAGACAGGUGGUGCAUGGUUGUCGUCAGCUCGUGUCGUGAGAUGUUGGGUUAAGUCCCGCAACGAGCGCAACCCUUGCUAUUAGUUGCUACGCAAGAGCACUCUAAUAGGACUGCCGUUGACAAAACGGAGGAAGGUGGGGACGACGUCAAAUCAUCAUGCCCCUUAUGACCUGGGCUACACACGUACUACAAUGGACGUUAACAGAGGGAAGCAAUACAGCGAUGUGGAGCAAAUCUCAAAAAUAACGUCUCAGUUCGGAUUGUAGUCUGCAACUCGACUACAUGAAGCUGGAAUCGCUAGUAAUCGCGAAUCAGAAUGUCGCGGUGAAUACGUUCCCGGGUCUUG
Molecule: ribosomal RNA, 1341 nt
Filed under: uncultured bacterium
Lineage: Bacteria
Description: bacterial SSU rRNA
Rfam family: Bacterial small subunit ribosomal RNA
Source: RNAcentral